RNAcentral lists this ribosomal RNA (439 nucleotides) under uncultured bacterium. RNAcentral's name for it is "partial 16S ribosomal RNA". It matches the Rfam family "Bacterial small subunit ribosomal RNA", at positions 339 to 795 of the family's 1533-position model. The record is from RNAcentral.
CUACGGGAUGCUGCAGUGGGGAAUAUUGCACAAUGGAGGAAACUCUGAUGCAGCAACGCCGCGUGGAGGAUGACACUUUUCGGAGCGUAAACUCCUUUUAUAUAGGAAGAAGAUGACGGUACUAUAUGAAUAAGCGCCGGCUAACUCCGUGCCAGCAGCCGCGGUAAUACGGAGGGCGCAAGCGUUACUCGGAAUCACUGGGCGUAAAGAGCGUGUAGGCGGAUUAAAAAGUCAGAAGUGAAAUCCUAUAGCUUAACUAUAGAACUGCUUCUGAAACUCUUAAUCUAGAAUGUGGGAGAGGUAGAUGGAAUUACUGGUGUAGGGGUAAAAUCCGUAGAGAUCAGAAGGAAUACCGAUUGCGAAGGCGAUCUACUAGAACAUUAUUGACGCUGAGACGCGAAAGCGUGGGGAGCAAACAGGAUUAGAUACCCCCGUAGUC